RNAcentral lists this long non-coding RNA (3072 nucleotides) under Piliocolobus tephrosceles (Ugandan red Colobus). RNAcentral describes it as "lncRNA (ENSPTEG00000028458.1)". Lineage: Eukaryota; Metazoa; Chordata; Mammalia; Primates; Cercopithecidae. The record is from RNAcentral.
AUGUAUUAUAAAAAUAUGAACGAUUCAACACAAAACUAUAUGAAUAGUAAUAACUUAUCAAAAGGAGUAGAUAUAAAAAAAACAAAAACUGAAGAAACAGUAGGCCUCUAUAGAAAUAAUGAAUCACAAAAAAAUCGAUUUUAUUUAAAUACAAACGUUAAUGUUAACUCUAGUGACUCCAACAAUAACCCAAAUAUGAAUAACGAAGUGAACGGGUCUAAUAAUUCCGUUGUAGGACUAAAUUACAUAAAAGGGAAUGUAAAUUACACCAAUAACAUGAGCAACACAAACAACAUGAGCAACACAAACAAUAUGAAUAACACAAACAAUAUGAAUAAUGUGAAUAACACAAACAGUAUGAGCAAUAUGAACAAUGUGAACGAAAUGAAAAAAUCAAGCGUGCUUUUAAAUAAACUGAAUAAAAAACCAGUUAAAAAUUUAUCCUUUUCAUUAAAUAAGUAUGUAAAAUCUUACGUAAAUUUUGAUAAAAUAAAAAAUAACUCCAAAAAGGUUGACGAUGGUAAUAAUAUGUUAGCAAAAAAAAAUAAAGAUAUAUAUACAAACAAAAAUACAAAUGAAUCUUCAGAUAAAUUCGUUAAUAAAAAUUUAAAUGUUUGUGACAAUUUAAGAAGCAAAAUAGAGAGUGGUAAAUUCGAAUCAAAUAAUGCUUUCAAUAAUAAUAAUAAUAGCAGUGGCAAUAAUAAUAAUAGUAGUGGCAAUAAUAAUAAUAGUAGUGGCAAUAAUAACAAUAGUAGUGGCAAUAAUAACAAUAGUAGUGGCAAUAAUAAUAAUAAUAGCAGUGGCAACAAUAAUAAUAACAACAGUUACAAUAGUUACGCAAACAAAACAUUAUAUAUAAAACAUGAUAAUACAUUAAAUAAUAACUAUGAUAUAAACUGUAGUAUUAUGAAUAAUAAUAAUAAUUGUAGUACUGAUAAUAUUGAUCAAAAUAGGCAACAUAAAACGGGAUAUUCUUCUUUAGCUGGAUUGUAUGAUAAAAAUACGAAAGUGGACACAAAUUGGAAGAUGGGAUUAGUAAACACAAGUUCUGCUUACAAUACCAAUUCUGCUUAUAAUACCAAUUCUGCUUAUAAUACCAAUUCUGCUUAUAAUACUAACUCUGUUUAUAACAAUUGUGCUGAAAAAAACACAUACCCAAGUGAGCAUAAUACUAAUAUUAACUACAAUGAUAGUUUUAUUGAAAGUUUAAGCGAAGUUUCCGAAAUAAGUGAUUAUGAUGAUGAUAAUAAUAAAAAUAAUAAUUUAGGUAAAAAACAAACUGAUAAUUCUAAAGAAAAAUUUGAAAAAAAUGAUAUGAUAAAUAAUAUUAAAAGUUUGCAGUUAGGAAAUAAUGCUGCUAACAUUUUUUCGAAUAAUAAUAAUAAUAAUAAUUAUAAUAAUAAUAAUUAUAAUAAUAGUAGUAAUAAUAAUAGUAAUUAUAAUAAUAGUAAUAAUAAUAAUAGUAAUUAUAAUAAUAGUAGUAAUAACAAGGUGAAUAGUAAUGAUAUAUAUAACAAGAUUGCCGCAUUAAAUAAUGCCUUUUUAAUUAAUAAUACCAGUAAUGUUAUAUCAACAAAUAACCCUAAUAUAACCUCCUUAAGUAAUAAUCAAUCGAAUGAAAUAGUUCGAAAUUCACAGAAUGCUUAUAAUUUUAAUGAUAAUAAGAUGCAACAGGAAAGUAAUUUUUAUUCUUCUAAUAAUACUAUUAAUAGCUUCAGUUUUAACAAUAAUAAACCGUCGAUGGUUGAAUUAAAUAAUACUUCUAGUGGUGGUAAUAUUAAUGACCAAUUAAACAGUUUGGCAAGCUACAAAAAUAAUAAAUUGUCUAUGUUGAACUCAUCCGAAUCGAAUAGAGAUAAAUUAGAUAAUCAUAACUUAUUAAUAGGAAAUAAUUUAAAUAAUAUAAAUUUUAUAAACAAUAGAAAAGAUGGUUAUAAUGGAAUAAAUAAUUUUUUGGAACCUCAUUCGAAUAAAUAUGUGAAUGAAUUAGUACAUGAUGAUAUGACACAAGUACCUGAUAUAAAAACUGAUAAAAAAAGUAAAGACGAUGGUUGUUAUUUAUAUAAUAGAAAUACUCAUGAAGUAAGAAAUGAGCAUUACAAUAUCCAUCCAUAUGACACUGGCCUUAAUGUUGUUAAAAAAGAGCGUGAAAAUGAAAUAUAUGUUAAUAAUCUACACAAUUGUAACAACUUAUCUAAUGGUAGUUACAACUUAUCUAAUGGUAGUCACAACUUAUCUAGCGGUAGUAACAAUAGCAUCCCUACUGACAAUAGUAAUUCUACUAUACCUAGUAUUAGUAACCGUAAAAGUAAAGAUGACACUACCAACAUGAAUUUAACUGAAAUAAAAAUUGAAGAUUGUUUUAUAAAUUCAUAUGUUCCGUAUCCUCCUGAAAAAUAUAAUAACUUAUACGAUUUACAUGAAAUAAAAAUAUUAUCACCAUAUAUUUUAAAAAAAAGGUUUUAUGAUAAAGAUAUGGGUGGGUAUCCUAAUUCAUUAAAAGAUGGUAAACUAAUAUUGUUGUUAGACUUAGAUAAUACAUUAUUACAAGCAACUUCUUUUUCUAAAUUCAACAUGGAAUUACCAUUGGAAAAUUUUGUUGAUGAAAAUGGUGAACCAGAAUUAUAUAAAUUUUUUUUACCUUAUUAUAAUUUUUUUUAUUAUAUAAAAUUUAGACCCUAUGUACGUCAAUUUUUACAAAUAUUAUCAUUAUAUUAUGAACUGUCGAUAUAUACUAAUGCGACAAGAGAAUAUGCAGAUGUAGUGUUGGCAAUUUUAGAUCCGGAUAGAAGUUUAUUUGCUGAUAGAAUAGUAGCACGUUGUAGUUCAGCAGAUAGAGAUGAAAAUAAAUUUUUUACAAAAAUUUAUCCUAAUAUUAAUUCAAAAUAUGUUAUAGCAUUUGAUGAUAGAAAAGAUGUUUGGAUUGAUAUACCACAUUCACAUAUUUUAAAAGCAGAACACUAUAAUUUUUUUGAAUUAAGUAAAUAUGAUAUUAUAUCACAUUUUAAAGAACCAAGUAGUUGUAAAAAAAAAGUUUAUAGAUAUGGAUAUGCAUUUACAUUAUAUGACUAA